Molecule: transfer RNA, 69 nt
Filed under: Balaeniceps rex (shoebill)
Lineage: Eukaryota; Metazoa; Chordata; Aves; Pelecaniformes; Balaenicipitidae
Description: tRNA-Asp
Source: RNAcentral
GAGGUGUUAGUAAACCAAUUACAUGGCCUUGUCAAGACCAAAUCACAGGUGAAAAUCCUGUACACCUCA